UACAGAGGGGGCAAGCGUUGUUCGGAAUUACUGGGCGUAAAGGGCUCGUAGGCGGCCAACUAAGUCGGACGUGAAAUCCCUCGGCUUAACCGGGGAACUGCGUCCGAUACUGGAUGGCUUGAGUUUGGGAGAGGGAUGCGGAAUUCCAGGUGUAGCGGUGAAAUGCGUAGAUAUCUGGAGGAACACCGGUGGCGAAGGCGGCAUCCUGGACCAACACUGACGCUGAGGAGCGAAAGCCAGGGGAGCAAACGGG
Molecule: ribosomal RNA, 253 nt
Filed under: uncultured bacterium
Lineage: Bacteria
Description: partial 16S ribosomal RNA
Rfam family: Bacterial small subunit ribosomal RNA
Source: RNAcentral